UCUAGGGAAAAAGCUCGCACAGAUUAUUUCCAUAGAUUUGUCCAUCUGUUUGUUUGGAAGCCCAUCAUCCGACUGAUAUUCGUCCAGGGGAAGCCUUUUUCCGGUUGGAAACAGCCCUGGCCUCUUCCGACCAGCUACCCGCGACCGCAACUCUAGCCUCUAGAGCUCUCCCCUAGCGACGCCAAUCCUAGCCUCAGGAGCUCUUCCCUGAGACCCGGCUCCAUCGUCUUCUGUGACAUCGUCCCCUUCUCCUCGAUAAGAGUGCAAAGUGGAAGCAAUGCAUGAAGUCGACAUGAAGAAGAAAAAUGCAACGAACUGUAUCUAGUGCAGUUUAAUUGGUGUUACUUGAUGUUGGUGUUUCGUUGCAUUACAGUUUUAUGUUAUAUUGACUAUCUGUUUGCGUGAAUGGAGAUGACAUUGAUGGAUGGAUUAGCUUCGUUACAUAUUAGAUGGUAUUCAAAUUAAACUUUGUGUGAAUCAUAUUUGUUUGUGUGAAUGGAGACCAAUCUGUUUCUGUGAUGUUUCA
Molecule: long non-coding RNA, 526 nt
Organism: Zea mays
Lineage: Eukaryota; Viridiplantae; Streptophyta; Magnoliopsida; Poales; Poaceae
Exons: 2
Source: RefSeq, a predicted model, not a curated record